RNAcentral lists this small RNA (703 nucleotides) under Arabidopsis thaliana (thale cress). RNAcentral describes it as "ATSL243170". The record is from RNAcentral. Lineage: Eukaryota; Viridiplantae; Streptophyta; Magnoliopsida; Brassicales; Brassicaceae.
UUUUUAUAGACUUCAUAGCCAAACACUAUAUGUACAUAUGUAAUCUUUUAUCUGCUUAUAGAAAACUGAACAAUUUGGACCUAGUUGAAAAAAACAAAAUUUUAAACAGGAAAGCCAAACAUUACCGAACGAUUACUCGAACCGAUUAUCUAACUUUGGUUACAUUGGUUUUGAAUGUGAUUUUGGGUUGUUUAAAAGGAUAUUGAGUUGGGACCGGGCAUAUUCCCGCCAGAUAAUUCUGAAGAAUGUAUUAAGAGCCUUCAGGAUGUGAUCUUCUUCUUAAAAUUCUUUCCACAAUCUUUUCUGCAAUGAUUUUAUGACGGUGGCCGGAGAUAUUUUACCGGAGUUCCUGGAAGUAAAGAAUUUACAAACUUUGAAGAAACUCAUUACAUUUUUUUUUCCUCUAUGUAAUCAGUGUUUGAGAGAGAUAGAGAAACUAUCUUUUGCUAGAUAAGUUUCAUGUGUUUGUUGGUUAAGCUCAUAUUAUUUAUAUUUUUCUUGAAUAUUUCUUCUGUUUACUUAUACGACAUAAAUUACAUAUGUACUUAUAGUGUUUUCUAGAAUCAUUUACACAAGUGUUAGAAAUCAAUGUUAUUAUUUACACAUGCAUGCUGGAAUCUAGCUAAAAUAUGUUUGUAACCUAAACUGUUUUUUAUUAUCAAUGAAAUAAUUACAAUUUAGUAAAUAGAAAUAUGUAUAUACA